UGGGGAAUUUUGGACAAUGGGCGAAAGCCUGAUCCAGCAAUGCCGCGUGUGUGAAGAAGGCCUUCGGGUUGUAAAGCACUUUUGUCCGGAAAGAAAUCCUUGGCUCUAAUACAGUCGGGGGAUGACGGUACCGGAAGAAUAAGCACCGGCUAACUACGUGCCAGCAGCCGCGGUAAUACGUAGGGUGCAAGCGUUAAUCGGAAUUACUGGGCGUAAAGCGUGCGCAGGCGGUCUGCUAAGACCGAUGUGAAAUCCCCGGGCUCAGCCUGGGAACUGCAUUGGUGACUGGCAGGCUAGAGUACGGCAGAGGGGGGUAGAAUUCCACGUGUAGCAGUGAAAUGCGUAGAGAUGUGGAGGAAUACCGAUGGCGAAGGCAGCCCCCUGGGCCAAUACUGACGCUCAUGCACGAAAGCGUGGGGAGCAAACAGGAUUAGAUACCCUGGUAGUCCACGCCCUAAACGAUGUCAACUAGUUGUUGGGGAUUCAUUUCCUUAGUAACGUAGCUAACGCGUGAAGUUGACCGCCUGGGGAGUACGGUCGCAAGAUUAAAACUCAAAGGAAUUGACGGGGUCAUAGCUGUUUCCU
This 585-nucleotide ribosomal RNA is filed under the name uncultured bacterium. RNAcentral's name for it is "partial 16S ribosomal RNA". It matches the Rfam family "Bacterial small subunit ribosomal RNA", at positions 355 to 1375 of the family's 1533-position model. The record is from RNAcentral.